This 70-nucleotide transfer RNA is filed under the name Dipodomys ordii (Ord's kangaroo rat). It matches the Rfam family "tRNA". From Rfam's summary of the family: Transfer RNA (tRNA) molecules are approximately 80 nucleotides in length. Their secondary structure includes four short double-helical elements and three loops (D, anti-codon, and T loops). The record is from Rfam by way of RNAcentral. Lineage: Eukaryota; Metazoa; Chordata; Mammalia; Rodentia; Heteromyidae.
AGGAAUGUGGCUUAGUGGUAGAGUGCUUGCUUAGCAUGCAUGAAGCCCUAGGUUUGAUUCCUCAGUACUA